GGGGAAUAUUGGGCAAUGGGCGCAAGCCUGACCCAGCAACGCCGCGUGAGGGAAGAAGGUUUUCGGAUUGUAAACCUCUGUCGCAGGGGACGAAGGAAGUGACGGUACCCUGUCAGAAAGCCCCGGCUAACUACGUGCCAGCAGCCGCGGUAAUACGUAGGGGGCGAGCGUUGUCCGGAAUUACUGGGCGUAAAGGGAGCGUAGGCGGUCGAUUAAGUUAGAUGUGAAACCCCCGGGCUUAACUUGGGGACUGCAUCUAAUACUGGUUGACUUAGAGUACAGGAGAGGGAAGCGGAAUUCCUAGUGUAGCGGUGAAAUGCGUAGAUAUUAGGAGGAACACCAGUGGCGAAGGCGGCUUUCUGGACUGACACUGACGCUGAGGCUCGAAAGCGUGGGGAGCAAAC
RNAcentral lists this ribosomal RNA (404 nucleotides) under uncultured bacterium. RNAcentral describes it as "bacterial SSU rRNA". It matches the Rfam family "Bacterial small subunit ribosomal RNA", at positions 356 to 773 of the family's 1533-position model. The record is from RNAcentral.